Molecule: ribosomal RNA, 1048 nt
Filed under: Plagiorchioidea sp. Type IV RS-2020
Lineage: Eukaryota; Metazoa; Platyhelminthes; Trematoda; Plagiorchiida
Description: SSU rRNA
Rfam family: Eukaryotic small subunit ribosomal RNA
Source: RNAcentral
UCUAGAGCUAAUACAUGCUACUAUGCCCUGACCCGCAAGGGAACGGGUGCAUUUAUUAGAACAGAACCAACCGGUGGUGGCUUCGGCUGCUAUCGUUGCACUCUGUGAUGACUCUGGAUAACUUCACUGAUCGCAGUCGGCCUUGUGUCGGCGACGGAUCUUUCAAAUGUCUGGCCUAUCAAUUUUCGAUGGUAGGUGACCUGCCUACCAUGGUGAUAACGGGUAACGGGGAAUCAGGGUUCGAUUCCGGAGAGGGAGCCUGAGAAACGGCUACCACUUCCAAGGAAGGCAGCAGGCACGCAAAUUACCCAAUCCCGGAACGGGGAGGUAGUGACGAAAAAUACGGAUACGGGACUCUUAUGAGGCUCCGUAAUUCGAAUGAGUACAAUUUAAAUCCUUUAACGAGGAUCAACUGGAGGGCAAGUCUGGUGCCAGCAGCCGCGGUAACUCCAGCUCCAGAAGCGUAUAUUAAAGUUGUUGCAGUUAAAAAGCUCGUAGUUGGAUCUGGGUCGUAUGGCUGCGUGCCGCGCUCGCAUUUUCGGCUUGGCUUACGCUAGGUCGAGUUUGUGGGUCGGUGUCGUGGCUGUGCUGCCUUUAUACCGUGUCUGUUUCGACAGGUGCUGACGUAUUCGAUGGGCUUGUCUCAUUGUUGUGUCGGCAUGCUUCCAGAUGCCUUUAACCGGGUGUCGGGGGCGGACGGUGCGUUUACUUUGAACAAAUUUGAGUGCUCAAAGCAGGCUUGUGCCUGAAAAUUCUUGCAUGGAAUAAUGGAAUAGGACUUCGGUUCUAUUUUGUUGGUUUUCGGAUCCGAAGUAAUGGUUAAGAGGGACAGACGGGGGCAUUUGUAUGGCGGUGUUAGAGGUGAAAUUCUUGGAUCGCCGCCAGACAAACUACAGCGAAAGCAUUUGCCAAGGAUGUUUUCAUUGAUCUGGAGCGAAAGUCAGAGGUUCGAAGACGAUCAGAUACCGUCCUAGUUCUGACCAUAAACGAUGCCAACUGACGAUCCGUGGGUGUUUUAAUGACCCCACGGGCAGUCCCCGGGAAACCU